RNAcentral lists this ribosomal RNA (303 nucleotides) under uncultured bacterium. RNAcentral describes it as "partial 16S ribosomal RNA". It matches the Rfam family "Bacterial small subunit ribosomal RNA", at positions 507 to 809 of the family's 1533-position model. The record is from RNAcentral.
AGCAGUAGCCGCGGUAAUACGUAGGGUGCAAGCGUUAAUCGGAAUUACUGGGCGUAAAGAGCUCGUAGGCGGUCUGUCGCGUCUGGUGUGAAAUCCCGAGGCUCAACCUCGGGCUUGCAUCGGGUACGGGCAGACUAGAGUGCGGUAGGGGAGACUGGAAUUCCUGGUGUAGCGGUGGAAUGCGCAGAUAUCAGGAGGAACACCGAUGGCGAAGGCAGGUCUCUGGGCAUUAACUGACGCUGAGGAGCGAAAGCAUGGGGAGCGAACAGGAUUAGAGACCCCGGUAGUCCCUGUCUCUUAUAA